This 254-nucleotide ribosomal RNA is filed under the name uncultured bacterium. Its description in RNAcentral is "partial 16S ribosomal RNA". It matches the Rfam family "Bacterial small subunit ribosomal RNA", at positions 524 to 776 of the family's 1533-position model. The record is from RNAcentral.
CACGUAGGGUGCGAGCGUUGUCCGGAGUUAUUGGGCGUAAAGAGCUCGUAGGCGGUGUGUCGCGUCGGCCGUGAAAACCUGCAGCUUAACUGUGGGCUUGCGGUCGAUACGGGCAUCACUGGAGUUCGGCAGGGGAGACUGGAAUUCCUGGUGUAGCGGUGAAAUGCGCAGAUAUCAGGAGGAACACCGGUGGCGAAAGCGGCGCGCUGGAUCCCUACUGACGCUGAGGCACGAAAGCGUGGGGAGCGAACAGG